Molecule: ribosomal RNA, 721 nt
Filed under: uncultured Planctomycetota bacterium
Lineage: Bacteria; Pseudomonadati; Planctomycetota
Description: bacterial SSU rRNA
Rfam family: Bacterial small subunit ribosomal RNA
Source: RNAcentral
CACGUAGGUGGGUUUGUAAGUCAGAUGUGAAAGCCUUCUGUUCAACGGAAGAAUUGCAUCUGAAACUACAAGUCUUGAGUGUAGGAGGGGAGAAUGGAACUUCUGGUGGAGCGGUGAAAUGCGUAGAUAUCAAAAGGAACGCCGGCGGCGAAAGCGAUUCUCUGGCCUAUUACUGACACUCAGUGUGCGAAAGCUAGGGGAGCAAACGGGAUUAGAUACCCCGGUAGUCCUAGCCGUAAACGAUGGGCACUAAGUAGAGGGGAUUACCGAUGUUCUCUCUGCCGUAGCUAACGCAUUAAGUGCCCCGCCUGGGGAGUACGGCCGCAAGGCUAAAACUCAAAAGAAUUGACGGGGGCUCGCACAAGCGGUGGAGCAUGUGGCUUAAUUCGAUGCAACGCGAAGAACCUUACCGGGGCUUGACAUGGUAGAAGUAGGAACCCGAAAGGGUAACGAACGGUAUCCAGUCCGUGACUAUCACAGGUGUUGCAUGGCUGUCGUCAGCUCGUGUCGUGAGACGUUGGGUUAAGUCCCCUAACGAGCGAAACCCUUGUUUUUAGUUACCAGCGGGUUAUGCCGGGUACUCUAGAAAGACUGCCGUCGUCAAGACGGAGGAAGGUGGGGAUGACGUCAAGUCAUCAUGGCCCUUAUGCCCCGGGCUGCACACGUGCUACAAUGGUCGGUACAAACGGAAGCGAAGCCGAGAGGUGAAGCGAAUCCAAGC